AGUGAACGCUGGCGGUAGGCCUAACAUGCAAAUCGAACGGCAGCACAGUAAGAGCUUGCUCUUACGGGUGGCGAGUGGCGGACGGGUGAGGAAUACAUCGGAAUCUACUUUUUCGUGGGGGAUAACGUAGGGAAACUUACGCUAAUACCGCAUACGACCUACGGGUGAAAGCAGGGGAUCUUCGGACCUUGCGCGAUUGAAUGAGCCGAUGUCGGAUUAGCUAGUUGGCGGGGUAAAGGCCCACCAAGGCGACGAUCCGUAGCUGGUCUGAGAGGAUGAUCAGCCACACUGGAACUGAGACACGGUCCAGACUCCUACGGGAGGCAGCAGUGGGGAAUAUUGGACAAUGGGCGCAAGCCUGAUCCAGCCAUACCGCGUGGGUGAAGAAGGCCUUCGGGUUGUAAAGCCCUUUUGUUGGGAAAGAAAAGCAGCAGGUUAAUACCCCGCUGUUCUGACGGUACCCAAAGAAUAAGCACCGGCUAACUUCGUG
This 490-nucleotide ribosomal RNA is filed under the name uncultured bacterium. RNAcentral describes it as "partial 16S ribosomal RNA". It matches the Rfam family "Bacterial small subunit ribosomal RNA", at positions 29 to 507 of the family's 1533-position model. The record is from RNAcentral.